AACUCUUAGGGGUGGGUCACUUGGCUCGUGUGUCGAUGAAGAAUGAAGCUAGCUGCAAGAGUUAGAAUGAAUGUGAAUUGCAGGACACAUUGAUCAUCGACACUUUGAACACACUUGUGGCCCCAGGUUCCUCCCGGAGCUACACCUGUCUAAGUGUUG
RNAcentral lists this ribosomal RNA (159 nucleotides) under Sphenodon punctatus (tuatara). RNAcentral describes it as "5.8S ribosomal RNA (ENSSPUG00000017017.1)". It matches the Rfam family "5.8S ribosomal RNA". Rfam says of the family: 5.8S ribosomal RNA (5.8S rRNA) is a component of the large subunit of the eukaryotic ribosome. It is transcribed by RNA polymerase I as part of the 45S precursor that also contains 18S and 28S rRNA. Functionally, it is thought that 5.8S rRNA may be involved in ribosome translocation. The record is from Rfam by way of RNAcentral. Lineage: Eukaryota; Metazoa; Chordata; Lepidosauria; Sphenodontia; Sphenodontidae.